RNAcentral lists this ribosomal RNA (429 nucleotides) under uncultured Prochlorococcus sp. Its description in RNAcentral is "bacterial SSU rRNA". It matches the Rfam family "Bacterial small subunit ribosomal RNA", at positions 30 to 506 of the family's 1533-position model. Lineage: Bacteria; Bacillati; Cyanobacteriota; Cyanophyceae; Synechococcales; Prochlorococcaceae. The record is from RNAcentral.
UGAACGCUGGCGGCGUGCUUAACACAUGCAAGUCGAACGAACCUUCGGGUUAGUGGCGGACGGGUGAGUAACGCGUGAGAAUCUGCCCUCAGGAGGGGGAUAACGGUUGGGAACGACCGCUAAUACCCCAUAUGCCUACUGGUGAAAUGAAUUUCGCCUGAGGAUGAGCUCGCGUCUGAUUAGCUAGUUGGUGAGGUAAUGGCUCACCAAGGCUUCGAUCAGUAGCUGGUCUGAGAGGAUGAUCAGCCACACUGGGACUGAGACACGGCCCAGACUCCUACGGGAGGCAGCAGUGGGGAAUUUUCCGCAAUGGGCGAAAGCCUGACGGAGCAACGCCGCGUGAGGGACGAAGGCCUCUGGGCUGUAAACCUCUUUUCUCAAGGAAGAAGAUAUGACGGUACUUGAGGAAUAAGCCACGGCUAAUUCCGU